UAAAAAAAGAAAAAACCAAAAAUAUCGAAUUUGCUCUAAUGCUACAGAGUACACAGACAGAUCUCCCGGUAGGAGAGCAUUAUUUAUUUAACAAGAAAGUAUACUUGUAAAAGGUGUGUUACAUAGCAGAAACCGAAGGAAACUUUGAGUAGGUUGCAGUAUCGUGUACAAGUUUGCCAUUAGCAGCUGCAAUUUCACGAGAAUAGGUGCUAGCUUCACCAUUAUACGAAUAACUCUGUUCCGUCGUUGCUCCACCUUGUAGAACAAUGCGAUCUUUAACAGACAUCCACCCUUUGCAUUUUUGCCCAUUUUUCAAACGGCUUGAGUAAGAAUGUGAAUGUCCGUUACUCCAAUUCUUCUCCUCAUUCCGUUCAUGUUCUAAUUCAGAAUGCAUGAUGAUUGUACCAUCUUCUCUUGAUGGCUUCCAAGUCUUGGUGGUUAUAGUUAGAGGAUAUUCCCGCUUCAUACUUGUAUGAGAAAUCUUCGUACCUGUUUCAGAGACUACACUUAUUUCAAUCUCUUCUUCCACUUUUUGCUCUACUUUUUUUUCAGUUCCCUUGUUAUCAAACUUUAUCUCGUUCUUGAACUUGAGUUCUCGUGAAAUUUUAGUUGUCAAAUUGCCUGCUGACGAAUUCACCCACCCGUCAUACUUGCUCUUCCUCUUCAACUCAACUUCAUAUGAUCCAUCCAGCCCCUUAAAGCUUGAAGACCGCUCCAUCUCGUAAUCUGGAAUUCCAUAGUCAACAACUUCACCCUGCACUUCACAAUCACUAGUGCAUUGUUUAUCUAUCCAAAGGUGCAUAUUCGCAUCCAGAAGCCAGAAAGGGAGACUAUCCAGCACCUUAAACCCCAUAAAAUGGGAUUUACCAUCAAGUAAAUCCCCCAAAAAUGGUGUUAUAUCGAUGUCGUAAGAAGGAUGAUCAAAAGCCCCAAUUGAAACAAUUGGAUCCCAGUAAAGGGGAUUAAUUCCACCUGGGUAAAUUACAGGAAAUGGAACCACAGAUCCUACCAAAUUCCUGUCGAUAUUCAACAAAACUUCCCUGUACGAUCCAUGGCCUCUCUGGCUAGUCAAAUUAUUUGCCCGUAUGUAAGAAUCAGGGGGAUUUGAGUACCAAAACUCAUCCAAUCCAUGAAAUGACACGCAAAUUUCCAUGACAGCUCUGUAGGUGUUCUUCGGUAUGAUAACACUCUUCCCCUUCAAUUCCGAAUCACUCCGAAUUCGAAACCAAAAUCCUUCACCUCUAUUAUAACCCGAAAUCGGAAUUAUCAAAUCUGCUGGUUUUUCGUACAAACUCAUUGAAUUAUCCACAAACACAUCAUCUACCAUUCUCACUUUCCGAUUGUUUCUAGUAGCUGAUAACGGCACAUUCAUUUCCUCAAUAUAAUAGUAUAAGAUAGUAAGAUUAACAUAAUAAGCACCUGUAUAAACAUCGUUGACAAUAUUUUCCAGCAUCACAGAAAGAGAAAUAUCCUGUUUGGCAAGGAGGGACGAGUACCUGGUAACAUCCUUAGUAACAGUCCAGAAACCACCGCUUUCAGUAGGCUCCGCGGUGCUGGUACGUAAGAGAUCGGCACCGUCAAGCCAAACGGCAGCGAUACGAUCAUACUGUACUCCGUUAGAAGAGGCGUUGAAUUGAAGAGCAACAUGGUUCCAAGAGCAAUUCUCCGGCGGCGCGUAAGCGACGGAGACAGGUGGAAGACCGAUAGUAUCUCCGAAGUGAUGAGAGAGAAUUGGAAGAGUGCAGGAAGGAGUGAGAUUAGCGAAAGGCAAAGGACGAUUUAUUUCUAAGUAUUUUUGUUGAAAGUAACCAUGUCUGAUGAAGUGAGAAGGGUGCUGAAGGGAAGAACAAAUUGGAGCAUUAAUAAAAUUGAUUAUUAUUACAAUUAGGAAGAAGAACAGUUGGAGAUUUGACAUGAUUUUAGAUGGAAGAGAAUUAAUUAAUUAUGAAAAAACUGGAAGUAGCUUAUCCUUCUAACGACAAGUUUGAACAAAGGCAAGUCGAUAGAAUCG
This 2011-nucleotide unclassified non-coding RNA is filed under the name Hevea brasiliensis (rubber tree). The record is from RNAcentral. Lineage: Eukaryota; Viridiplantae; Streptophyta; Magnoliopsida; Malpighiales; Euphorbiaceae.